GCAUGGCUAUGGAUUUAUGGUGGGUCUAGUUCCAUAGGUCUGUCCAUAGUGUAUUCCAUGCUAAAGUGAGCUGCUACUCUGAACCAUUGGCUAGUUUGGCUUGUUGUAGCCCUGGCUACUGAAAAGAGUGGUACAUCU
Molecule: small nucleolar RNA, 138 nt
Filed under: Pogona vitticeps (central bearded dragon)
Lineage: Eukaryota; Metazoa; Chordata; Lepidosauria; Squamata; Agamidae
Description: Small nucleolar RNA SNORA42/SNORA80 family (ENSPVIG00000020313.1)
Source: RNAcentral